GGAGCAGUGGGGAAUAUUGCACAAUGGGCGCAAGCCUGAUGCAGCGACGCCGCGUGAGGGAUGACGGCCUUCGGGUUGUAAACCUCUUUCACCAGGGACGAAGCGUGAGUGACGGUACCUGGAGAAGAAGCACCGGCCAACUACGUGCCAGCAGCCGCGGUAAUACGUAGGGUGCGAGCGUUGUCCGGAAUUACUGGGCGUAAAGAGCUCGUAGGCGGUUUGUCGCGUCGUCUGUGAAAUUCUGCAACUCAAUUGCAGGCGUGCAGGCGAUACGGGCAGACUUGAGUACUACAGGGGAGACUGGAAUUCCUGGUGUAGCGGUGAAAUGCGCAGAUAUCAGGAGGAACACCGGUGGCGAAGGCGGGUCUCUGGGUAGUAACUGACGCUGAGGAGCGAAAGCGUGGGUAGCGAACAGGAUUAGAUACCCUGGUAGUCCACGCCGUAAACGGUGGGUACUAGGUGUGGGUUCCUUUUCACGGGAUCCGUGCCGUAGCUAACGCAUUAAGUACCCCGCCUGGAGACGCCCACCCCC
This 532-nucleotide ribosomal RNA is filed under the name Gordonia terrae. Its description in RNAcentral is "bacterial SSU rRNA". It matches the Rfam family "Bacterial small subunit ribosomal RNA", at positions 348 to 873 of the family's 1533-position model. The record is from RNAcentral. Lineage: Bacteria; Bacillati; Actinomycetota; Actinomycetes; Mycobacteriales; Gordoniaceae.